GCCUCUGUGGUGUAGUGGUAGAGCACGCGUCUCUUGAAAAGCGGGUUCGAUUCCCGCCUGGGGAA
This is a non-coding RNA of Parelaphostrongylus tenuis, 65 nucleotides long. Lineage: Eukaryota; Metazoa; Nematoda; Chromadorea; Rhabditida; Metastrongylidae. The record is from the annotation of a GenBank genome assembly.